This 680-nucleotide long non-coding RNA is filed under the name Prunus dulcis (almond). RNAcentral's name for it is "sRNA ncRNA". Lineage: Eukaryota; Viridiplantae; Streptophyta; Magnoliopsida; Rosales; Rosaceae. The record is from RNAcentral.
UAGACAAUAAAAUAUGUUGACUUGAGGAGGAACAUAUUUACUAGUUAUAUCAUCGGCAAUUGCCUGAAUCUCAAGACGUUCUUCGAACCAAUCAUAGAUUUUAUUGAGAUAGGUAAAUGACGGAGAAUCCCCCCCGGAGAACCGUAUAUGAAAAUUUCAUCUCAUACGGCUCAAAACAGAAACACACAAAUACUAGNNNNNNNNNNUUCUAACGGAUGUGUGUAAUAGAAAGUUUUAAAUUUCUUAAUUCUAUGAUUCAUUUUUUCUGAAGAUACGAAAGAAUAAAAAUCCGAAAACUCCUCUUUGUGGUUAUAAUGCCAAAAAAUCAAGACGGCUCAUUCGUCUAUAUUCUAUAUAUUGAUCGUUAUAGGCCUCUUGAAUCUUCUAUUUACCUAUUUUAUUUGUUGUUAUUUAUGUGUAGUGCGGCUUUACUGCUGUUUUCUUUAUUAUUGAUAGGAAUUAUCUUGUUAAGACCCUAUUAAUUGAUUAAAACCUCAGAUUCAUACUAGAACCACGAUGAUUCAAUAAAACCCUUUCAAACUAAGUCCCAAAAUUCCCUGAGUAAGAACCGUUGGAUCAUCACUUAUUCAAUGAAUAGAUAUAAUGACUAAAAAUCCAAAGAAACCUUUGUCCUUUGAUCAAAAUAAGCCUAAACGAAAGUUUAGUUUGAAAAAAAAAAA